GUUGCCAUUAUUUUGCUCUUCCGACGGAUGUUUUGGGCCAGGCGCGACCAACAACCUUGCAUUCAUCAUGCGCAGCUAAGUUUGGCCGAGGGGCGUGUAGGAGAGACUGGACCGGCUUCGUGCAGUGCGCAGAGGCCGUGGCACUUCAGAAUUUCCCGGCCUCCAUGUUUGAACCCGAGACACUAACAUUUGAUUUCUGUGGUGUUUGGAGGAAAAUUUUGCUGGAAAGACGGAUUUGAAAUUCGGCAAGACGGCAGCACCGCAGCGGACGGGCUGAGAGCAUUCUUUGCCCAUGGAACAUAGUGGCCAAGAUCGACCGAGGGUCCGCACAACGAAGGUCCCCGAUGGCCACAGUUCUACAUCAUCUGGCUCUAGAACGAGUCGGAACCGCUCUUCAACCUCGAAUGCGGAGGAAGUCCACAUAGGCAAAUAUCGUCUGAUAAAAACUAUUGGGAAAGGGAAUUUCGCUAAAGUGAAACUCGCCAAGCAUGUACCGACGGGAAAGGAGGUGGCCAUCAAGAUUAUUGACAAGACGCAGCUUAACCCGAGCAGCUUGCAAAAGGUAUGUUUUAUAUUAUACGAAACGACGAAAUCGGUAGAGAGUAGUAACGUGUUUUCGCGUCGAUCAAGCUAGCUAUUUCGCUAGCUUGUCGCAUGUAAUUACGUAUUCGAAAGCAACGUUGGAACCUUCGGUUUGUUUUGAAGAGCGCAUCAAACCACGUAAUUUACCGUUUUCGUCGUGUAUAACUAGCAAAAGUAGAGAUUUCGUUGCCUACCUUACAGACCCAAGAUCUCGAUGGCACAGCGCCCGUUGAGCUACAGCUGUACACCUUGACUUUGUUGAUUUUCCUCCGAGCGUACGUUGAUGUGUGGGAAAAAAUUCUGUAUUCUAAACUGAAAUUGUUCGUUUACAUAUUACUGUCAGUUUAAUAGAAGACUCUGCUAACAUUCGCAUUAGAGCACCACCAAGACUUGGUAAUUUCUUUCGGAUACAAGCUUAAUAAUGUUUUGAAUGAAGCGAUCGUAGAAGGAGAAAUAGUGUUUUUAAAAUCGAAAGGUUAACCGAAGGUUUUUUUCACGGGCUUAUUUUAUUUGUUCAAUUUUUGCUGUGAAGUUGUAUUACAUCGAAGUAUAAUUAGUUGCAUGGCGAAAGAUUGCCCGUUGUUAAAUCUGUUAGUUGGGGUAAAAAAUUCUGUAACGUUGUAGGGACGGACUUCUGACGGUACAAAGAUUUUGUGACGCGAAGUGAAAAUUUUAGACAGCAUCUCAGGUUGUGUUUUAUUAAUAAAGUGUUGGUCCAUUUUGUAUUGCACGUGUUUUCUUAAGAUUUCCUCGGUCGGUUGGCUAAUGCAACUUUUAAAUCGGACGAAUGAAAACUGUUGCCGAAAUCCCCGCAGAUUUACUCGGAAUUUCUUGGGUCAGUAGCCUUGCAAAUCGCGUGCACAUUUUUCAAAUAAAUGGACAAAGUUCUUUCCAUCCUGUGUAGUAAUGUGGAUUGAUAAAAAUCGAAUCGGUCGGUUACCCUUGUAUAUUUACAAAACUGUGCGGUAGACGCAGUGGUUCGGCAGGGAUUUUUCCACUCAUCGAUAAAAUAAUAUUUUCCGUUGGUAAUUUGUCCUCGCUGCGUGUACUAGAGUGAGGGUUUUACGUCACAGUUGAAAUGUCUUAAAAGGUGUUAUGUUAUUUAUCCAUGGGUUUUUGUACACCACACGUCGGCUUAUCCUUCAAGCAGCUGUGAAGAGAGCAAGAUCUAGACCUGAUAUUCUAGUAGCUCUUUGUAAAAUAUUGUUCCUAAGUCGGUACACUGUUAGAUUAAGAAUAUAUCUUGUUGUUCCAUUAUUAGCAUCUGCAGGAAAGUGAACACAAUAUGCCACCAUUAUUUUUGUCCUAUAGUCUUUGUACCUUGAUGUGCUAAAAGGAUUCUUUGCAGACACUGUAGUUGUAAUGGCACAUCCUGGGUGAAAUCCAAUGUUGUUGGCCCUUUUGUGUCUCAAAGUUUUGUCAGUGAAUUUAGGAACCAAUUUUGUUCCUGGAUUGGGGACAACCCCAAAUUGUUUCCAGAUAGCAGUGGAAUUAUUUGGUGACUUUAUCAUCAACUGUUUGUUCUUUAAAAGUUAUGUUAAGUCUGUCAAGUUAUUUUUUAUCACAUUGGUAUAUCUAUGCAUAGCCCUUCAAAAGACAGUAAUUUUAAUUAGUUCUUCUGAAUAACAGCAUGUUCAAUAAUAAUUUUUCACUUUUUAUUUCCUGCCCUGUUGUUACACUUGAGCCAGGUUUUCACAUGGUGGUUGUUGAUACCCUUCCAACUCAAGUUGUGUUUGUCUUUCAUUAACACAGAUGAUGAAUAGCUUCAUCUUCCUUAAAUAGUUUUACUGCUGGUUAAUCAUCCAGAUGUGAACUAGUAGUUAGCUAAAACUUUGGUUUUGUUUGUCAAAUUCAUCUUGUGGUUGGUCAAGAUUCAGUGUAUCAGCCCCAAUUACAGCUGUAGUGCUUGUGUAGAGCUCUGCCUCAAUUAUUGUAGAUCUUGUAGGCAGAAGCAGUUAGCUUUGUGAGCUUUCCCCAUUAAUUUUUUUCACAAGUAAACUCAUAUAUCAAGGCUGCAAAUAACAGUCGGUCAUCGGACAAUUGUCCGGUAAAUCUGAGAUUUUGACAGGUAAAAGCUUAGCCUGGUCGGACACUCUGACGGGGCAUUUCUGAUAAACGAAAAAUAUCUUAACUGGAAAUUUGUGGCCAAAUAUGGCACAAUUUUUUUUAUUAUACUGCCACACAAUACUAUGCAAAAAAAGCUUUGUUAUUAUAGUUUCACCUUUAUUCCAUUUCUGAGCAAUAAUUUUAACACGUGCAAUGCGUCGUCUCAAAUGUCACAUCGAAUUGUGCUAGUAUCGAUUUUAUACUCAGUUUAUUUCGCUUUUUAGUCAUUCCAAUUUGCAACCAACAUUUGGGCAGAGGUUCUACUCUGAAAUACCAAAAUGUCUCAAUCCAGUCUGGUCCGACCAGACUGGCUUUUUGUCAGGCCAAAACUUAUCUUUGGCCUGACAAAUGACUUGCUCGUAGACAAAAAUUAUUUGCAGGCUUGUAUAUUGUUUGAGGCAUAUAAUGGUGUGUUGCACCAUAAAGCAGGACUUUUGUAUGAUACUGUGAUUGCAAAAUCUAUAUGGUACAUAUGCACAUUUCAUUGACGUCAUCAUUUGCAUGAAAAUAUUUCAUUGAUUUGUACAUGUACAUUUAGCAUUUUUUUGCUUGUGUGUUUCUUAUCAUAAAUUGAAUAUUCACAACCGGUUGCAUUUUGAAGACGUUACAACUCAAGUGAAUUGUGAAGCUGUAAAUUCAAGCAUACAUCUAUAAGAUUUUCACAUGUAGUAAAGUAGCACGUUUUGUUUUAAGGUUGCGUAAAAAUUACUUCUUGUAAUGAUACAAUAUCAUCAACAAUUGUCUAGAUCAGAUAUGAUGCACACUACCCACAGUAUAAAAAAUUAACCACAAACAUUGGAAGCAGACAAAAAGAUGUUGCAUUGAAAUGUUUGUGUGUCUCGUUAAUAACCCAGUUAGUAUUUGAUGUGAUCACGUAGCUAAAUGGAAGAAGCAAGUCAUCAGUCAGCUACUUGUCUAUUGAUGUUACAUGGGCCCUGAGUACAACAAUAUUCUAAUGUAAAGUUUCUUAAGCUUUUACUCUCAACACUUAAGAUACCAAAUCGUCUGUUGUGUAUACCUGGGGUGGUAAAACAGAGUUUUCUUGUUGCAUUUAUGAAAAUGUACUGGUUCUUUAUAUUUAAGUGCAGUAAUUGUAUUAGAUAUUACUUGUAAUUUGCCAUGAUGUGAACAGUAUUAAUAUAGCCUGUCGGUGCAUGUGUACAGCAACAAGUUAGAUAUUGAAGAAGAAGCACAUUUGAUAUUUUUAAGUGCUUGCAUAUUGAUCUGUUUGCAGUUUUUAAAACAAGGAAGAAGUACAGCUUAAAUUGAAACUUCAGUGAGCUUUUCUUCCAUGUAGCUUCUGGUUUUCAUACACUUGUAAAUGGGUACAAAACCUUUUUUCUUGUCAACAAUUAGUUGUGCUGGGUUUCUUUCUUCCUUAUUAGGUGCAUAAGGUCUGGUCAACUGGUUUUGUCAUUUAUAACAAA
Molecule: long non-coding RNA, 4115 nt
Filed under: Orbicella faveolata
Lineage: Eukaryota; Metazoa; Cnidaria; Anthozoa; Scleractinia; Merulinidae
Description: uncharacterized LOC110056133
Source: RNAcentral